This 450-nucleotide ribosomal RNA is filed under the name uncultured bacterium. RNAcentral describes it as "partial 16S ribosomal RNA". It matches the Rfam family "Bacterial small subunit ribosomal RNA", at positions 354 to 796 of the family's 1533-position model. The record is from RNAcentral.
GUGGGGAAUCUUCCGCAAUGGACGAAAGUCUGACGGAGCGACGCCGCGUGAGUGAAGAAGGCCUUCGGGUCGUAAAGCUCUGUCAUCAGGGACGAACGGCCGGUGGAGUGGAAAGCCACCGGAUUGACGGUACCUGAGAAGGAAGCCACGGCUAACUACGUGCCAGCAGCCGCGGUAAUACGUAGGUGGCAAGCGUUGUCCGGGAUUAUUGGGCGUAAAGCGCGCGCAGGUGGGAUCUUAAGUCCAUUUUGAAAGUUCGGAGCUCAACUCCGUGAUGGGAUGGAAACUGGGAUUCUUGAGUACCGGAGAGGAAAGCGGAAUUCCCCGUGUAGCAGUGAAAUGCGUAGAUAUGGGGAGGAACACCAGUGGCGAAGGCGGCUUUCUGGACGGUGUCUGACACUGAGGCGCGAAAGCUAGGGGAGCGAACGGGAUUAGAUACCCGUGUAGUCC